This 383-nucleotide ribosomal RNA is filed under the name uncultured bacterium. Its description in RNAcentral is "bacterial SSU rRNA". It matches the Rfam family "Bacterial small subunit ribosomal RNA", at positions 97 to 513 of the family's 1533-position model. The record is from RNAcentral.
GGCAGACGGGUGAGUAACACGUGGGAACCGUGCCCUUUGGUUCGGAACAACUCCGGGAAACUGGAGCUAAUACCGGAUAAGCCCUUCGGGGGAAAGAUUUAUCGCCAAAGGAUCGGCCCGCGUCUGAUUAGCUAGUUGGUGAGGUAAUGGCUCACCAAGGCGACGAUCAGUAGCUGGUCUGAGAGGAUGAUCAGCCACACUGGGACUGAGACACGGCCAGACUCCUACGGGAGGCAGCAGUGGGGAAUAUUGGACAAUGGGCGCAAGCCUGAUCCAGCCAUGCCGCGUGAGUGAUGAAGGCCCUAGGGUUGUACAAGCUCUUUUGUCCGGGAAGAUAAUGACUGUACCGGAAGAAUAAGCCCCGGGCUAACUACGUGCCAGCA